This is a small nuclear RNA of Pipistrellus kuhlii (Kuhl's pipistrelle), 159 nucleotides long. RefSeq annotates it as U1 spliceosomal RNA. The transcript has a single exon. Lineage: Eukaryota; Metazoa; Chordata; Mammalia; Chiroptera; Vespertilionidae. The record is from RefSeq and is a predicted model, not a curated record.
UUACUUACCUUGUAGGGUAGUUAUCAUGAUCACAAAGGUGGUCUCUUUAGGGUGAGGCUAACCCAUUGCACUCCUGCUGCGCUGACGCAAUUUCUCCAACUGUAAGAAAUUCAACUGCGUAAUUUGUGGUAGUGGGGAACUGCACUCACAUUCUCCCCU